RNAcentral lists this ribosomal RNA (301 nucleotides) under uncultured bacterium. Its description in RNAcentral is "partial 16S ribosomal RNA". It matches the Rfam family "Bacterial small subunit ribosomal RNA", at positions 509 to 808 of the family's 1533-position model. The record is from RNAcentral.
CAGUCGCCGCGGUAAUACGAAGGGGGCUAGCGUUGCUCGGAAUCACUGGGCGUAAAGGGAGCGUAGGCGGCGUGGUAAGUCAGAUGUGAAAUCCCGGGGCUCAACCCCGGAACUGCAUCCGAUACUGCCAUGCUAGAGGAUUGGAGAGGUAGCUGGAAUUCUUGGUGUAGCAGUGAAAUGCGUGGAGAUCAAGAGGAACACUCGUGGCGAAAGCGAGCUACUGGACAAUAACUGACGCUGAGGCUCGAAGGCCAGGGUAGCGAAAGGGAUUAGAUACCCCCGUAGUCCCUGUCUCUUAUCC